CGCUGGCGGCAGGCCUAACACAUGCAAGUCGAGCGGUAGAGAGAAGCUUGCUUCUCUUGAGAGCGGCGGACGGGUGAGUAAUGCCUAGGAAUCUGCCUGGUAGUGGGGGAUAACGUUCGGAAACGGACGCUAAUACCGCAUACGUCCUACGGGAGAAAGCAGGGGACCUUCGGGCCUUGCGCUAUCAGAUGAGCCUAGGCCGGAUUAGCUAGUUGGUGAGGUAAUGGCUCACCAAGGCGACGAUCCGUAACUGGUCUGAGAGGAUGAUCAGUCACACUGGAACUGAGACACGGUCCAGACUCCUACGGGAGGCAGCAGUGGGGAAUAUUGGACAAUGGGCGAAAGCCUGAUCCAGCCAUGCCGCGUGUGUGAAGAAGGUCUUCGGAUUGUAAAGCACUUUAAGUUGGGAGGAAGGGUUGUAGAUUAAUACUCUGCAAUUUUGACGUUACCGACAGGAUAAGCACCGGCUAACUCUGUGCCAGCAGCCGCGGUAAUACAGAGGGUGCAAGCGUUAAUCGGAAUUACUGGGCGUAAAGCGCGCGUAGGUGGUUUGUUAAGUUGGAUGUGAAAUCCCCGGGCUCAACCUGGGAACUGCAUUCAAAACUGACUGACUAGGGUAUGGUAGAGGGUGGUGGAAUUUCCUGUGUAGCGGUGAAAUGCGUAGAUAUAGGAAGGAACACCAGUGGCGAAGGCGACCACCUGGACUAAUACUGACACUGAGGUGCGAAAGCGU
This 733-nucleotide ribosomal RNA is filed under the name uncultured bacterium. RNAcentral describes it as "bacterial SSU rRNA". It matches the Rfam family "Bacterial small subunit ribosomal RNA", at positions 34 to 762 of the family's 1533-position model. The record is from RNAcentral.